UAUAUUCCGUCACAGACAUCUCUAAG
RNAcentral lists this non-coding RNA (26 nucleotides) under Mus musculus (house mouse). The record is from RNAcentral. Lineage: Eukaryota; Metazoa; Chordata; Mammalia; Rodentia; Muridae.